CUGGAAGCCCCCAGGGCCUAGCUGGGCCAGCUCACCUGCCUGGGCGUGGUUCCCACGGGCCAUGGCUUCCUGCUCCCUCUGACUUCAUCAGGCCCUAACCAGUCCUUCUCUAAACCCUUCCACCUCAUUUGAGGGCUGCCUCUUUCCUGCCAGGACCCUGACCAAUAAACUUCUGGGGUCUGCACAGCCCUAGGAAGCAGCUGUUCUUGCCCAUUUUAUGGGGAGGAGUGCCCGUGGAGACCCCCAUGGUAGGAGGUCUUAACUCCUGGGGACCCGGGCUCCCCUCGUUCUCAGCACAGACCUUGGGAAAGGCAGCCCACGGGUCAGAGAGCGGAAACGCCAGGUUUCGUGCAGGAAGUGUGUGUGUGAGAAGCGGUCCCAGGGAAGAGAGGGAGCCCACCUGCGGGCAAGGCAGGGUGAGGGGAAAAGCCGGCAGAAGGAGGCGGCGUCGACCCACACUCAGAGCUGUGCUGACAGCCGGGGCCAUCUGAGGAACCUCGAGACGUGCAGAAAACUGUCCACCCCAGGGACAAAAAGGGACGUAAGCCAUAGGCUCCACCCCAUCCAUCAGGGGUUGCUCAUCAGUCCCACACUUCUGGGUUCACAUACCUGGGUGCCAAGCAGGUCCCUCGGGGGCGUCCUCCUCCGCCGCGUCAGAGAAGCUCUGGGCAAGAGUGAGCUGGGCCAUUGGCCCCCAUCUGCACAAAGCUGGUCAGAGGCGGCAGGAAGCGGUCAGCACAGUGCCAUGGCUGGGAUGGGAACCUGACUAAGAAGCCCUCUGCCCCUGUUGAAAACUCAUGAGGAGUCCUGUGAGCUCCUGCAUGGCUUUGGAAGUGCGGCAGCCGCCAGAGGCGUCAGCUCCAGCCUCUCCGGGGGCAAGGAUCCAGUGUGACCACCUGCCAUCAGGCGCUGGCCAGUCUCCUCACAGUGACCCCCAUCAAGAACCCAGGCCAGUCCCUGCUGCUGGAAGGGGGGUGUUUACCAGCAACAGUGGCUGACUACUGUCGGGCCUGCGCACGGCUGCCACCGCGCCGCCUGCCACCGAGGCUG
Molecule: long non-coding RNA, 1050 nt
Filed under: Equus caballus (horse)
Lineage: Eukaryota; Metazoa; Chordata; Mammalia; Perissodactyla; Equidae
Description: lncRNA (ENSECAG00000044825.1)
Source: RNAcentral